Molecule: unclassified non-coding RNA, 383 nt
Filed under: uncultured Chthoniobacteraceae bacterium
Lineage: Bacteria; Pseudomonadati; Verrucomicrobiota; Spartobacteria; Chthoniobacterales; Chthoniobacteraceae
Description: contains 16S-23S intergenic spacer region
Source: RNAcentral
UCCCCGUUUCACAGGGCAGUCUGACCAGAGUGCUCCGGACUAGCCGGUUAGCAACAGAUCACAGGGGUUGCGCUCGUUGCGGGACUUAACCCAAUAUCUCACGACACGAGCUGACGACAGCCAUGCAGCACCUGUGCAAAUUGUACCUUGCGGUACUCGCCGGCUUUCACCGACUUAGAGAUGCAUGUCAAGCCUAGGUAAGGUUCUUCGCGUUGCAUCGAAUUAAGCCACAUACUCCACCGCUUGUGCGGGCCCCCGUCAAUUUCUUUGAGUUUUAAUCUUGCGACCGUACUCCCCAGGCGGCGCGUUUAACGCGUUAGCUCCGGCACGGAAGGGGUCGAGACCCGCCAAGCCUAGUACCCAUCGUUUACGGCGUGGACUAC